GCCGGGAUAGCUCAGCUGGGAGAGCAACAGACUGAAGAGUGGGAGCACACCCGCUGUCUUCUGGAGGUCGCGUGUUCAAUCCACGCUCCUGGCA
Molecule: non-coding RNA, 94 nt
Organism: Trametes gibbosa
Lineage: Eukaryota; Fungi; Basidiomycota; Agaricomycetes; Polyporales; Polyporaceae
Source: the annotation of a GenBank genome assembly